AUUUGUCUUCAUUACUGUUCAGAAGGUCCUGAUCUCUUUCUUAGUCCAUAUGUUGUUUAAUUUAGUAUCACAUAAAUUUAUUGGCAUGAAAUUGCCAUAUCCACAUUGUUGAAUGUUUACAUGCGCUUGGAGCUGCAGGAGGAUUGGAAUCUAUUGUAACCAUUAAAGCAAUCAACACUAACUAACUGCAUCCAACCAUUAAUUAAUGUAACUUGGAGUCUGAUGUUACAGUCAACACUGUUCCAAACGUGAAGAGCAUGAAGUCCAUAUUGGUAUCUCCAACUCAUUUGGCUUUGGUGGGCAUAAUGUGACAGUUACUUUCGCUCCAUUCAAGCCCUAGAUGAAGGUCAGACUAAUAUCCCCAGGCUCCAGCCAACUAUUUCUACUGGUACGUGGCCCCUCCCUUGGCCAAUGCUUCCACCUACUAUUCUUUCUUCCUUCCCAGGUACCAAGGAAGAGCAAUAUGAUCAACCUGAGGAACAGUACCACGUUGAAGACCUCUUGAACCAAAAAGGGGAGUUCGUAGAACCGUGGGUGAAUUGCUAGAAGAAGCUCUAUUUAUUUUAGUAUUGUAAUUUCAAUUCCAAAAGUGCUUGCACAACUGUCGUACUCUAUUUUAUUCAGUAAUAUGUGAAACCUAAUUAUGUCAACUUUAAUUUUAAUGAUUAAAGACUUCCGAUGUUUAA
Rhododendron vialii is the source of this 686-nucleotide long non-coding RNA. RefSeq lists it as uncharacterized. Lineage: Eukaryota; Viridiplantae; Streptophyta; Magnoliopsida; Ericales; Ericaceae. The record is from RefSeq and is a predicted model, not a curated record. The transcript has 5 exons.